AUCUGUGUCACCACCAGGUUGACAACAAUAUAUAUAUUGCUUUAUAUAGGCCUACACAUAGAAAGAGAGACAGAGACAUUUAUACAGUAUUAUUAUUUUUUCAUUAUUUCCCUGUUUUGAAUACAACUAGAUCAACAACUUCUGAAACUCCAAUAAUACUACCUGCAAGUGCUGCUGAAAGAAAAAUAACCCUAACAGCCUUUAAAUUUACUACAUAGAUUCUAAUGCUGACAACAUCAUUUAGAUCUAGAUGCUGCCUGAAGAUUUCAUGUCUGUGGCAUUUUACUUCUCGAGAAAAGAUCUUUUCCCUUUGCAACUUCUGGUGUGGCUAGAGAGGCCAAUCCUUGAUACACAGCUGUAGUCACAGGUUGAGCACAUGUAAUCACCAGGCACCAUUGCAUUGUCACCUUUCUUCCUGCUGCUGUUGUGUAUGGCAUCUGCAAUCCGAGACCCUUCCUUUAUGCUCUCUCCAUGUGGAUCUAUCCAGUGCCACCUUUUCCCAGCUGCUAGUGUCGAUUUUGAAGAUGCACACUAUGAUAAACUCAAUGCAGUUGACUACAAUAAUCUCCAUGACCACAUUGUUUCAACAAGAACCUGUGUGCAUCACACAUUGUAAGGGUCGAAAUUGAAAAAAAAAUAUUUGUAAGCUAUGUGCCAAAAAUGCUCCUAAUAUUCAAUGAUGAGCUCUGACCAGGAUAACAAUCACACAUUGUGUCCGGAUGGCACUACAUCUGGGUAUCACUUCAAAAUAUCAUAGCAAGAGAGCAGCCAUAACAAAAAGUACAACCAGACCAUUACUAUUAUUAUGGAUACAGUGAUGGUCAAUACUGUUGUUGUGUUUUCAAUAAUAGUUUAAUUGCUUUUUAGUUAGUUACAAUGCUAUUAAUAUUAAAAGGUAUUUUUU
Long non-coding RNA from Biomphalaria glabrata, 904 nucleotides. RefSeq lists it as uncharacterized. Lineage: Eukaryota; Metazoa; Mollusca; Gastropoda; Planorbidae. The transcript is spliced from 2 exons. The record is from RefSeq and is a predicted model, not a curated record.